Molecule: long non-coding RNA, 450 nt
Organism: Oxyura jamaicensis (ruddy duck)
Lineage: Eukaryota; Metazoa; Chordata; Aves; Anseriformes; Anatidae
Exons: 2
Source: RefSeq, a predicted model, not a curated record
GACUGUUCCUCCUGUUGGAAAGCUUCUUUGCAGGUGAGGUUAGCGUGGACCUGCCCUGAAAGGACCCUUGGUGUUUCUGAAGGACAGAUGUGGCCAUUCUGACCUCUCCUUCUCAGCUGCAGGGUAUUCCAAGCAAAAUUGUCUGUCCUGGUUGCUGUGGAUUUUUGGUUUUGCUUGCAUCUCACCUUGUCUAGAUACUUUAAUUGCACUACUGGUGUGUCUGUAAGGCUCCCGUUAACAUGUACGUGGGAAACAAAGACAGAUCUGCAGUUCAAGUUCAUUUUCCGGAUUAAAUGUUAUAGCAUUGGUGUUUAAUCUUUCUGACCUUUUCCAUAGUUUCAUGUAUAAAAGAACUGCCUGAGAGCUGGAGAGCUGUGACAUUUCACGCGUGAUUUUUGCCAGUUAGCAGUGAAAAUAAAAAUACAUCUAAAAAAAAUAUAAAUCUUUUUU